Symsagittifera roscoffensis is the source of this 77-nucleotide non-coding RNA. The record is from the annotation of a RefSeq genome assembly. NCBI's taxonomy places the organism in Eukaryota, Metazoa, Xenacoelomorpha, Acoela, Convolutidae.
GGGACAGUGGUCUAGACUAGAGGUAUGAUUCUCGCUUUGGGUGCGAGAGGUCCCGGGUUCAAUUCCCGGCUGUCCCC